GAGCACUGUUUCGGCAAGGGGGUCAUCCCGACUUACCAACCCGAUGCAAACUGCGAAUACCGGAGAAUGUUAUCACGGGAGACACACGGCGGGUGCUAACGUCCGUCGUGAAGAGGGAAACAACCCAGACCGCCAGCUAAGGUCCCAAAGUCAUGGUUAAGUGGGAAACGAUGUGGGAAGGCCCAGACAGCCAGGAUGUUGGCUUAGAAGCAGCCAUCAUUUAAAGAAAGCGUAAUAGCUCACUGGUCGAGUCGGCCUGCGCGGAAGAUGUAACGGGGCUAAACCAUGCACCGAAGCUGCGGCAGCGACGCUGAUGCGUUGUUGGGUAGGGGAGCGUUCUGUAAGCCUGUGAAGGUGUGCUGUGAGGCAUGCUGGAGGUAUCAGAAGUGCGAAUGCUGACAUAAGUAACGAUAAAGCGGGUGAAAAGCCCGCUCGCCGGAAGACCAAGGGUUCCUGUCCAACGUUAAUCGGGGCAGGGUGAGUCGACCCCUAAGGCGAGGCCGAAAGGCGUAGUCGAUGGGAAACAGGUUAAUAUUCCUGUACUUGGUGUUACUGCGAAGGGGGGACGGAGAAGGCUAUGUUGGCCGGGCGACGGUUGUCCCGGUU
This 606-nucleotide ribosomal RNA is filed under the name Escherichia coli. RNAcentral describes it as "partial 23S ribosomal RNA". It matches the Rfam family "Bacterial large subunit ribosomal RNA", at positions 905 to 1512 of the family's 2925-position model. The record is from RNAcentral. Lineage: Bacteria; Pseudomonadati; Pseudomonadota; Gammaproteobacteria; Enterobacterales; Enterobacteriaceae.